GCUAUCGUAACUUAAACUUAAAGUGUAAUACUGAAGAUAUUAGAAUGGAGCCUAAGCCCUCCCGAAAGCA
Molecule: transfer RNA, 70 nt
Filed under: Lepidion lepidion (Mediterranean codling)
Lineage: Eukaryota; Metazoa; Chordata; Actinopteri; Gadiformes; Moridae
Description: tRNA-Phe
Source: RNAcentral